UAGUAGUACGGAAUAAUUGUUGGAAACGGCAACUAAUACCGUAUAUACCCUACGGGGGAAAAAUUUAUUGCUAUUAGAUGAGCCUAUAUUAGAUUAGCUAGUUGGUGGAGUAAUAGCCUACCAAGGCAAUGAUCUAUAGCUGAUCUGAGAGGAUGAUCAGCCACACUGGAACUGAGAUACGGUCCAGACUCCUACGGGAGGCAGCAGUGGGGAAUAUUGGACAAUGGGCGAAAGCCUGAUCCAGCCAUGCCGCAUGAGUGAAGAAGGCCUUUGGGUUGUAAAGCUCUUUUAGUGAGGAAGAUAAUGACGGUACUCACAGAAGAAGUCCUGGCUAACUCCGUGCCAGCAGCCGCGGUAAUACGGAGAGGGCUAGCGUUAUUCGGAAUUAUUGGGCGUAAAGGGCGCGUAGGCUGGUUAAUAAGUUAAAAGUGAAAUCCCGAGGCUUAACCUUGGAAUUGCUUUUAAAACUAUUAAUCUAGAGAUUGAAAGAGGAUAGAGGAAUUCCUGAUGUAGAGGUGAAAUUCGUAAAUAUUAGGAGGAACACCAGUGGCGAAGGCGUCUAUCUGGUUCAAAUCUGACGCUGAAGCGCGAAAGCGUGGGGAGCAAACAGGAUUAGAUACCCUGGUAGUCCACGCUGUAAAC
RNAcentral lists this ribosomal RNA (642 nucleotides) under Wolbachia endosymbiont of Balloniscus sellowii. RNAcentral's name for it is "bacterial SSU rRNA". It matches the Rfam family "Bacterial small subunit ribosomal RNA", at positions 131 to 807 of the family's 1533-position model. The record is from RNAcentral. Lineage: Bacteria; Pseudomonadati; Pseudomonadota; Alphaproteobacteria; Rickettsiales; Anaplasmataceae.